This 468-nucleotide ribosomal RNA is filed under the name uncultured bacterium. Its description in RNAcentral is "partial 16S ribosomal RNA". It matches the Rfam family "Bacterial small subunit ribosomal RNA", at positions 28 to 507 of the family's 1533-position model. The record is from RNAcentral.
GACGAACGCUGGCGGCGUGCUUAACACAUGCAAGUCGAACGGAAAGGCCCUGCUUUUGUGGGGUGCUCGAGUGGCGAACGGGUGAGUAACACGUGAGUAACCUGCCCUUGACUUUGGGAUAACUUCAGGAAACUGGGGCUAAUACCGGAUAGGAGCUCCUGCUGCAUGGUGGGGGUUGGAAAGUUUCGGCGGUUGGGGCUGGACUCGCGGCUUAUCAGCUUGUUGGUGGGGUAGUGGCUUACCAAGGCUUUGACGGGUAGCCGGCCUGGGGGGGUGACCGGCCACCUUGGGACUGAGAUACGGCCCAGACUCCUACGGGAGGCAGCAGUGGGGAAUAUUGCACAAUGGGCGGAAGCCUGAUGCAGCAACGCCGCGUGCGGGAUGACGGCCUUCGGGUUGUAAACCGCUUUCGCCUGUGACGAAGCGUGAGUGACGGUAAUGGGUAAAGAAGCACCGGCUAACUACGUG